RNAcentral lists this ribosomal RNA (1378 nucleotides) under Streptomyces sp. Its description in RNAcentral is "bacterial SSU rRNA". It matches the Rfam family "Bacterial small subunit ribosomal RNA". Lineage: Bacteria; Bacillati; Actinomycetota; Actinomycetes; Kitasatosporales; Streptomycetaceae. The record is from RNAcentral.
GUCGAACGAUGAAGCCUUUCGGGGUGGAUUAUUGGCGAACGGGUGAGUAACACGUGGGCAAUCUGCCCUUCACUCUGGGACAAGCCCUGGAAACGGGGUCUAAUACCGGAUAAUACUUCUGCCUGCAUGGGAGGGGGAUGAAAGCUCCGGCGGUGAAGGAUGAGCCCGCGGCCUAUCAGCUUGUUGGUGGGGUAAUGGCCUACCAAGGCGACGACGGGAAGCCGGCCUGAUGAGGGCGACCGGAUCACACUGGCGACUGAGACACGGACCCAGACUCCUACAGGCAGGCAGCAGUGGGGAAUAUUGCACAAUGGGCGAAAGCCUGAUGCAGCGACGCCGCGUGAGGGAUGACGGCCUUCGGGUUGUAAACCUCUUUCAGCAGGGAAGAAGCGCAAGUGACGGUACCUGCAGAAGAAGCGCCGGCUAACUACGUGCCAGCAGCCGCGGUAAUACGUAUGGCGCAAGCGUUGUCCGGAAUUAUUGAGCGUAAAGAGCUCGUACGCGGCUUGUCACGUCGGAUGUGAAAGCCCGGGGCUUAUCCCCGGGACUGCAUUCGAUACGGGCUAGCUAGAGUGUGGUAUGGGAGAUCGGAAUUCCUGGUGUAGCGGUGAAAUGCGCAGAUAUCAGGAGGAACACCGGUGGCGAAGGCGGAUCUCUGGGCCAUUACUGACGCUGAGGAGCGAAAGCGUGGGGAGCGAACAGGAUUAGAUACCCUGGUAGUCCACGCCGUAAACGUUGGGAACUAGGUGUUGGCGACAUUCCACGUCGUCGGUGCCGCAGCUAACGCAUUAAGUUCCCCGCCUGGGGAGUACGGCCGCAAGGCUAAAACUCAAAGGAAUUGACGGGGGCCCGCACAAGCAGCGGAGCAUGUGGCUUAAUUCGACGCAACGCGAAGAACCUUACCAAGGCUUGACAUAUACCGGAAAGCAUCAGAGAUGGUGCCCCCCUUGUGGUCGGUAUACAGGUGGUGCAUGGCUGUCGUCAGCUCGUGUCGUGAGAUGUUGGGUUAAGUCCCGCAACGAGCGCAACCCUUGUUCUGUGUUGCCAGCAUGCCUUUCGGGGUGAUGGGGACUCACAGGAGACUGCCGGGGUCAACUCGGAGGAAGGUGGGGACGACGUCAAGUCAUCAUGCCCCUUAUGUCUUGGGCUGCACACGUGCUACAAUGGCCGGUACAAUGAGCUGCGAUGCCGUGAGGCGGAGCGAAUCUCAAAAAGCCGGUCUCAGUUCGGAUUGGGGUCUGCAACUCGACCCCAUGAAGUCGGAGUUGCUAGUAAUCGCAGAUCAGCAUUGCUGCGGUGAAUACGUUCCCGGGCCUUGUACACACCGCCCGUCACGUCACGAAAGUCGGUAACACCCGAAGCCGGUGGCCCAACCCCU